This 460-nucleotide ribosomal RNA is filed under the name uncultured bacterium. RNAcentral's name for it is "partial 16S ribosomal RNA". It matches the Rfam family "Bacterial small subunit ribosomal RNA", at positions 338 to 795 of the family's 1533-position model. The record is from RNAcentral.
CCUACGGGUGGCAGCAGUGAGGAAUAUUGGUCAAUGGCCGGAAGGCUGAACCAGCCAUGCAGCGUGAAGGUCAGUUCCCUAUUGGCGUUAAACUUCUUUUGAGCGGGAGCAAUAAUGGUCACGUGUGGCCAGUCGAGAGUACCGUACUGAUAAGCAUCGGCCUACUUCGGGCCAGCCGCCGCGGUAAAUAGGGGGGUGCAAGCGUUAUUCGGGAUUUUUGGGGUUAAAGGGGAGGUUAGGUGUGAUGUGAGUCAGGUGUUGAAUGCUUGCGGUCAAAGGGUUGAAGUGCCAUUGAUACUGGCUUUCUGGAGUGCGGAUGCCGUGGGAGGAAUGUGUGGUGUAGCGGUGAAAUGCAUAGAUAUCACACAGAACACCGAUUGCGAAGGCAGCUCACGGAUCCGCGAUUGACGCUGAUGCACGAAAGCGUGGGUAUCAAACAGGAUUAGAUACCCCUGUAGUC